Molecule: ribosomal RNA, 495 nt
Filed under: uncultured bacterium
Lineage: Bacteria
Description: partial 16S ribosomal RNA
Rfam family: Bacterial small subunit ribosomal RNA
Source: RNAcentral
GACGAACGCUGGCGGCGUGCCUAAUACAUGCAAGUAGAACGCUGAAGGAGGAGCUUGCUCUUCUGGAUGAGUUGCGAACGGGUGAGUAACGCGUAGGUAACCUGCCUGGUAGCGGGGGAUAACUAUUGGAAACGACUGCUAAUACCGCCUAACAGUAGAUGUUGCAUGACAUUUAUUUAAAAGCUGCAUUUGCAUUACUACUAGAUCGACCUGCGUUGUAUUAGCUAGUUGGUGGGGUAACGGCUCACCAAGGCGACGAUACAUAGCCGAGCUGGGAGGGUGGUCGACCACACUGGGACUGAGACACGGCCCAGACUCCUACGGGGAGGAGCAGUAGGGAAUCUUCGGCAAUGGACGGAAGUCUGACCGAAGAACGCCGGGGGGGUGAAGGAAGGUUUCGGAUCGGAAAGCUCUGUUGUAAGGGAAGAAAGGGUGUGAGGGUGAAAAGUUCACACUGUGACGUUAUCUAACGAGAAAGGGACGGCUAACUACGUG